CAGGCUUAACGCAUGCAAGUCGAGGGGCAGCAUGGUCUUAGCUUGCUAAGGCCGAUGGCGACCGGCGCACGGGUGAGUAACACGUAUCCAACCUGCCGUCUACUCUUGGACAGCCUUCUGAAAGGAAGAUUAAUACAAGAUGGCAUCAUGAGUCUGCAUGUUCACAUGAUUAAAGGUAUUCCGGUAGACGAUGGGGAUGCGUUCCAUUAGAUAGUAGGCGGGGUAACGGCCCACCUAGUCUUCGAUGGAUAGGGGUUCUGAGAGGAAGGUCCCCCACAUUGGAACUGAGACACGGUCCAAACUCCUACGGGAGGCAGCAGUGAGGAAUAUUGGUCAAUGGGCGAGAGCCUGAACCAGCCAAGUAGCGUGAAGGAUGACUGCCCUAUGGGUUGUAAACUUCUUUUAUAAAGGAAUAAAGUCGGGUAUGCAUACCCGUUUGCAUGUACUUUAUGAAUAAGGAUCGGCUAACUCCGUGCCAGCAGCCGCGGUAAUACGGAGGAUCCGAGCGUUAUCCGGAUUUAUUGGGUUUAAAGGGAGCGUAGAUGGAUGUUUAAGUCAGUUGUGAAAGUUUGCGGCUCAACCGUAAAAUUGCAGUUGAUACUGGAUAUCUUGAGUGCAGUUGAGGCAGGCGGAAUUCGUGGUGUAGCGGUGAAAUGCUUAGAUAUCACGAAGAACUCCGAUUGCGAAGGCAGCCUGCUAAGCUGCAACUGACAUUGAGGCUCGAAAGUGUGGGUAUCAAACAGGAUUAGAUACCCUGGUAGUCCACACGGUAAACGAUGAAUACUCGCUGUUUGCGAUAUACAGCAAGCGGCCAAGCGAAAGCGUUAAGUAUUCCACCUGGGGAGUACGCCGGCAACGGUGAAACUCAAAGGAAUUGACGGGGGCCCGCACAAGCGGAGGAACAUGUGGUUUAAUUCGAUGAUACGCGAGGAACCUUACCCGGGCUUAAAUUGCAGAUGAAUUACGGUGAAAGCCGUAAGCCGCAAGGCAUCUGUGAAGGUGCUGCAUGGUUGUCGUCAGCUCGUGCCGUGAGGUGUCGGCUUAAGUGCCAUAACGAGCGCAACCCUUGUUGUCAGUUACUAACAGGUUCCGCUGAGGACUCUGACAAGACUGCCAUCGUAAGAUGUGAGGAAGGUGGGGAUGACGUCAAAUCAGCACGGCCCUUACGUCCGGGGCUACACACGUGUUACAAUGGGGGGUACAGAGGGCCGCUACCACGCGAGUGGAUGCCAAUCCCAAAAACCUCUCUCAGUUCGGACUGGAGUCUGCAACCCGACUCCACGAAGCUGGAUUCGCUAGUAAUCGCGCAUCAGCCACGGCGCGGUGAAUACGUUCCCGGGCCUUGUACACACCGCCCGUCAAGCCAUGGGAGCCGGGGGUACCUGAAGUGCGUAACCGCGAGGAGCGCCCUAGGGUAAAACUGGUGACUGGGGCUAAG
Molecule: ribosomal RNA, 1438 nt
Filed under: uncultured organism
Description: 16S ribosomal RNA
Rfam family: Bacterial small subunit ribosomal RNA
Source: RNAcentral